RNAcentral lists this ribosomal RNA (301 nucleotides) under uncultured bacterium. RNAcentral's name for it is "partial 16S ribosomal RNA". It matches the Rfam family "Bacterial small subunit ribosomal RNA", at positions 509 to 807 of the family's 1533-position model. The record is from RNAcentral.
CAGUCGCCGCGGUAAUACGGAGGAUCCAAGCGUUAUCCGGAAUCAUUGGGUGUAAAGGGUCCGUAGGCGGUCUUGUAAGUCAGUGGUGAAAGCCCAUCGCUCAACGGUGGAACGGCCAUUGAUACUGCAGGACUUGAAUUAUUGGGAAGUAACUAGAAUAUGUAGUGUAGCGGUGAAAUGCUUAGAGAUUACAUGGAAUACCAAUUGCGAAGGCAGGUUACUACCAAUUGAUUGACGCUGAUGGACGAAAGCGUGGGUAGCGAACAGGAUUAGAUACCCCUGUAGUCCCUGUCUCUUAUAC